GUCCUCUUGAUUAUAUUUUGAGGUCUGGCCUGCUCACUGACAAGGUUUUGAAGAGCCGCGGUAUUUUGACCGUGCAAAGGUAGCAUAAUCAUUAGUCUCUUAAUUAGGGGCUGGAAUGAAUGGCUUGACGAGAAAUCAACUGUCUCUUAAUAAUUUUUAAAAUUUAACUUUUGAGUCAAAAGGCUUAAAUUUUUUUUUAGGACGAGAAGACCCUAUAGAGCUUAACAUUUUAUUUUUAUAUAGUUUUUAGUUGAUCUUUCUAUAUUUAAUGAUAAUGUUUUGUUGGGGUGACAUGAAGAAUAAUUAAACUCUUCAUUAUAAAAUCAUUGAUUUAUGUUUAUCAUGAUCCAUAAUUUAUGAUCAUAAGAUUAAGUUACCUUAGGGAUAACAGCGUAAUUGUUUUCGAGAGCUCAUAUCGACAAAGCAGAUUGCGACCUCGAUGUUGGAUUAAGAAAAAUUUUGGGUGCAGGAGCCCAAUAAUUAGGUCUGUUCGACCUUUAAAUUCUUACA
This 510-nucleotide ribosomal RNA is filed under the name Calliptamus barbarus. RNAcentral describes it as "partial large subunit ribosomal RNA". It matches the Rfam family "Bacterial large subunit ribosomal RNA", at positions 1830 to 2600 of the family's 2925-position model. Lineage: Eukaryota; Metazoa; Arthropoda; Insecta; Orthoptera; Acrididae. The record is from RNAcentral.